Molecule: long non-coding RNA, 413 nt
Organism: Vombatus ursinus (common wombat)
Lineage: Eukaryota; Metazoa; Chordata; Mammalia; Diprotodontia; Vombatidae
Exons: 3
Source: RefSeq, a predicted model, not a curated record
GAGGGACAAGGGUCCUUUGUCUCCCUCCUACCCUUUCCAGACUGUGUUUGAGUGUCGUUUCCAUACCAUGUCUCAGAGCAUAGGAAAAUAAAGCCCUGUACCCAGACCAUGAGAGAACUCCCUCGGAUGCUGUUGAGGUUAAGAGCCUUCUGUGGAAAUAGUGCCAAAUAACAGAUACAUGCACCUAAAGGUGGUGGAAGAAAUUCUGGAAAGAAGAAAACAGUCACUGGAACCCAGCUAGAAUCAACUAAGAGAAGCGAUGUGAAUAAUACACAUUGACAGGUAAGGCAAAAAAAAUAACUCUACAGUUUUUGACUUUGGAUAUAUAAGCAACACCUACACAUUCACUCUUAACAUGAAUGUACAUUUCUUUGGCUGACUCUCUCUCACCUCAUGAUUUGAUCCUACUCUCC